RNAcentral lists this ribosomal RNA (279 nucleotides) under uncultured bacterium. RNAcentral describes it as "partial 16S ribosomal RNA". It matches the Rfam family "Bacterial small subunit ribosomal RNA", at positions 506 to 784 of the family's 1533-position model. The record is from RNAcentral.
UGCCAGCAGCCGCGGUAAUACGAGGGGUGCAAGCGUUAAUCGGAAUUACUGGGCGUAAAGCGCGUGUAGGUGGUUGAUUAAGCCAGAUGUGAAAGCCCCGAGCUCAACUUGGGAACUGCAUUUGGAACUGGUCGACUAGAGUUUUGUAGAGGGUGGUAGAAUUUCCAGUGUAGCGGUGAAAUGCGUAGAGAUUGGAAGGAAUACCAGUGGCGAAGGCGGCCACCUGGACAGAAACUGACACUGAGACGCGAAAGCGUGGGUAGCAAACGGGAUUAGAUA